RNAcentral lists this ribosomal RNA (368 nucleotides) under uncultured organism. Its description in RNAcentral is "bacterial SSU rRNA". It matches the Rfam family "Bacterial small subunit ribosomal RNA", at positions 526 to 896 of the family's 1533-position model. The record is from RNAcentral.
CGGAGGGUGCAAGCGUUAUCCGGAUUCACUGGGUUUAAAGGGUGCGUAGGUGGGUUGGUAAGUCAGUGGUGAAAUCCCCGAGCUUAACUUGGGAACUGCCAUUGAUACUAUCAAUCUUGAAUACUGUGGAGGUCAGCAGAAUAUGUCAUGUAGCGGUGAAAUGCUUAGAUAUGACAUAGAAUACCAAUUGCGAAGGCAGCUGGCUACACAAAUAUUGACACUGAGGCACGAAAGCGUGGGGAUCAAACAGGAUUAGAUACCCUGGUAGUCCACGCCCUAAACGAUGGAUACUCGACAUUUGCGAUACACAGCAAGUGUCUGAGCGAAAGCAUUAAGUAUCCCACCUGGGAAGUACGAUCGCAAGAUUG